GCUUGUCUAGGUGGGGCAUUAGCGAUGCCUUAUAACUUGUGCGCUAACCAAGGCCGAAGACCCAACAAGCGUGCCGAAUUUUACUAUAAUCGGCGUUAGGCGAUUGCGUUGACUGUAAGGACUUGUGCAAUGGAAGUUUUGCGAACCGUGUCAGGAUGGGAACAUAGCAGCACUAAACAAACUCUUUCGUGUGCCACAAAUAAACUUUACAUGAGUAAUCUCUUUCGUUCGUUUGUAAUGAAAUCUCGGGGCAAUUUUGGGGACAAGC
Molecule: signal recognition particle RNA, 268 nt
Filed under: Christensenellaceae bacterium
Lineage: Bacteria; Bacillati; Bacillota; Clostridia; Christensenellales; Christensenellaceae
Description: signal recognition particle sRNA large type
Rfam family: Bacterial large signal recognition particle RNA
About the family: The signal recognition particle (SRP) is a universally conserved ribonucleoprotein involved in the co-translational targeting of proteins to membranes.
Source: RNAcentral